UUAGGUUAAGUUAGAAAGGGCGCACGGUGGAUGCCUUGGCACUAGGAGCCGAUGAAGGACGGGACUAACACCGAUAUGCUUCGGGGAGCUGUAAGUAAGCUUUGAUCCGGAGAUUUCC
Molecule: ribosomal RNA, 118 nt
Filed under: Mesobacillus boroniphilus
Lineage: Bacteria; Bacillati; Bacillota; Bacilli; Caryophanales; Bacillaceae
Description: partial 23S ribosomal RNA
Rfam family: Bacterial large subunit ribosomal RNA
Source: RNAcentral